AUGCCCACGUCUUCUUCUUCACCCACGGCCGCCGCGACCAACGCCGUCGAUCUCCACCACCGGCACCUCCCUGCCUCGCCGAGCUCGUCCACGGCCUCCUCAGGAGACAAAUUGGUUGGUGAAGGAGAGGUGCCUGGCAGUGAAACAAAGGGUUCUCCAAAUAGGACCUUUCGGCGGGACUCAAAACGGGGUGCUAAGCAGGAACCAUGUGGCACUGAUAAUGACGGGGAUGGAGAGGAUGAUGACGUGUCCCAGAGAGUAUCUAAAGCAUAUGAAAAAGCACAAGAAUCGUUUUUGGCGCGAAGAGCCGCGGGCCCGCCGCGUCAGCAAGUCUACUCUCUUCUCGCCCCUUCGUCGUCCUCAUCGCCUCGUUUCCCGUGGAGAAUCAAUGCCAAAACUGCCGCGCGCUGCCGCGCCGGUCAGUCUCCAUUGAUGCCUCACGGGUGGCGCAAUAAAGGCUGGGCGACGCGUCCCUCGGCUGCCACGCAAUCACGCCACGCGUAA
Molecule: ribosomal RNA, 504 nt
Filed under: Triticum aestivum (bread wheat)
Lineage: Eukaryota; Viridiplantae; Streptophyta; Magnoliopsida; Poales; Poaceae
Description: partial small subunit ribosomal RNA
Source: RNAcentral